RNAcentral lists this ribosomal RNA (186 nucleotides) under uncultured bacterium. Its description in RNAcentral is "partial 16S ribosomal RNA". It matches the Rfam family "Bacterial small subunit ribosomal RNA", at positions 1314 to 1500 of the family's 1533-position model. The record is from RNAcentral.
GACUACAUGAAGCUGGAAUCGCUAGUAAUCGCGGAUCAGAAUGCCGCGGUGAAUACGUUCCCGGGUCUUGUACACACCGCCCGUCACACCAUGGGAGUCGGAAAUGCCCGAAGUCUGUGACCUAACCGCAAGGGAGGAGCAGCCGAAGGCAGGUCGGAUGACUGGGUGAAGUCGUAACAAGGUAAC